Molecule: long non-coding RNA, 263 nt
Filed under: Elaeis guineensis (African oil palm)
Lineage: Eukaryota; Viridiplantae; Streptophyta; Magnoliopsida; Arecales; Arecaceae
Description: long non-coding RNA (EGUI_LNC069607)
Source: RNAcentral
UCUCACUCUGACACCAUCAACCAACAUACUCUGCACCGUAUGGGAUUUACUAAGACUGAUGGUGGUUGGACUAAAAGUGUAGAAGAGAGAGCUGAAGAGAGAGCUGAGUAUAGAGCUGAGGAAGAAGGACCAUCUUCACCCCUCUAUGAUCUCAGGGCAGCAUCUCCAGACAUUCAGUUCGUUUCAGAUCCCGAGGCUGGCCCAUCAGAGUCUACGAAGAGGCACACUCCAGUCCAGCAGCCAGACAGCAGAGCACAUCCCUC